CUUCGGAUUGUAAACCCCUGUCACCUGGGACUAAACCUCGGCGUAGAGCCGAGCUGAAAUAACCAGGAGAGGAAGCAGUGGCAAACUCUGUGC
This 93-nucleotide ribosomal RNA is filed under the name uncultured bacterium. Its description in RNAcentral is "partial 16S ribosomal RNA". The record is from RNAcentral.